UGGAUUCGUUAUUGAGCCUAGGAUCAUCGUCAUUAGCUUCUCGAGUAUCAAAUUAUCGCGAUUACUUGUCCAAUUCCAUCAUGGUCAUGUUUGCACUGGUAAAUAUCUCCUCUAUUGCAUAACGAUCACGUCUAGCGCCAAUAGGGAUUCGUUUCACGCCCUUAACCCUAACUCUAAUCUUAACGCCAAACCGACAUAUAUAUAUAUAUAUAUAUAUAUAUACAUACAUAUAUAUAUUUUAUACAUACAUACAUAUAUCAAUUUUUAUACACACAAUUAUACAUAUUUAUAUAUGUAUGUCAUUAAGCGCUGGAAUAAAGAAUGACGAAUCGUUAUUCUUUAACCAUCGUACUUAGACACAUAUUUAUUGAGCUACUUGUAUUUUAAUCGAAGUCUAAUAUCCUCCAUCUGUAGGCGUAAAUAUUACUGCCGUUGUUAAUGUUAUUUAAGUUUUACUACUGGAAAGGACAUUUAAGUUUGAAGGCAGGCAAGUCUACUGUUCUUAAAGCUGACAUUUAGACAUCUAAGAUUUUUUAUGUCUUUAUUGACAAAAACAUAUUUGACUUUGCAUAUCUAAAAUAAAGGAUUUGCGUUAUCUAAAAUAAAUAGAUCAUCUUUCUUUAGAAAAUUCAAUGUGGUGAAAUUAGGAUAUGAGAUAAAAGAAAUACUAUGCAUAUGAUUUGAUUGAAAUUUUGAAAGUGUAUAGACCCUGUUUUAGAAAUAUCAGUAUUAAUUCGGUAGACUAUAAAUUUAUAUUACAAAAUUAACUGUUUUCUACUUUUGUUGUAAUUUUCUUCUACUUUCUGGACAUUUUACUGAAAAUGCUGGAGAUUUUAAAUCAGUAAUUAAUAAAGUGAAUUCAUAAAAUAACUUUUAAACGCAUUGCUAUCUAAAGUACAAAUUCUUACGUUUUUUAAAAUAUAUUCUUAUAGUUAUUGUAUGUAACGUACUUGAAUCUUUACGGGUAUGGUUAAAAUAUUUUGUCCGCAUUUUAUUCAGUCAUUUAAAAUAUCAAAGCAAACUUAUUUCAAGUGAAAAAUAAUCCUUAUUCCUAUAAGCAGUAUUCAUUACAAGAACUAAUUUUACAUAUAUAAUCGUAACAAAAAAGAAACAUUAAACAGGCAUUUAUAGUUAU
Molecule: unclassified non-coding RNA, 1135 nt
Filed under: Bombus terrestris (buff-tailed bumblebee)
Lineage: Eukaryota; Metazoa; Arthropoda; Insecta; Hymenoptera; Apidae
Description: misc RNA ENSBTSG00005033237.1
Source: RNAcentral